Molecule: long non-coding RNA, 705 nt
Organism: Apis mellifera (honey bee)
Lineage: Eukaryota; Metazoa; Arthropoda; Insecta; Hymenoptera; Apidae
Exons: 2
Source: RefSeq, a predicted model, not a curated record
UUGCGCAUGCUUUUACGAAUGAGUGUACAGUAUAAGUAAUGUCAAAUAUAACUUGAUGAUCUAUUAUUAUUAUAAAAAACAGUAUAUACAAAAUUGAAGUCUUAAUAAAAGUAUUAAUAUUAAUAAAGUGUUAAUAAUUUUUUUAUAUUUAAAAUAGUAAAAUAAAUUAUAUAAUUAAAAAAUUAAAUAUUUAAUACUUAACAUAAAGGUUACAUUGAUUUUUUAUAUUUUCACAUUAUUUCAGUUAUUUAAUCGUUUUGUCAAUAAUAAAAAUUUUAUUUGUCUGAUUUAAGAUUUUAAAUAAAAAAUGGUAUGUGUACCAUGUGUAGCUAUACCAAUAUUUCUCAUUAUAUGGAGAUUUUUGAUACAACCAUUAUUUAUAAAAUGGUGGCAGUUUAGAAACAAACAAAAAGAAUUAAUAAAUAAUGAACAACAACAAUUGGUGAAAGAAUGUAAAAAUGGAGUUUGUACAUUAUCAUGGUCAAAAAAAGAAAAUAAAAAAUUUGAUUAAAAAGCUUUAAAAUUCAUAAAAACCAUUUUUGUUUAAUAGUUUAUUGCAUAAUCAAUUAAAUUUUAUAUUUCAAUUUACAAUUUUUUAAAUAAUUAAUAUUUUAUUUCAUGCAAAUUGUUUAUUAUUAAUGUAUGUCAAUGAUAUGUUGUGUAUUAUCUACAAUAAAUAUAAAACAUAUGUAAAUUCAUACAUUA